GCGCCCGUAGCUCAACGGAUAGAGCAUCUGACUACGGAUCAGAAGGUUGGGGGUUUGAAUCCCUCCGGGCGCA
Molecule: transfer RNA, 73 nt
Filed under: Corynebacterium sp.
Lineage: Bacteria; Bacillati; Actinomycetota; Actinomycetes; Mycobacteriales; Corynebacteriaceae
Description: tRNA-Arg
Rfam family: tRNA
About the family: Transfer RNA (tRNA) molecules are approximately 80 nucleotides in length.
Source: RNAcentral